Arachis ipaensis is the source of this 2853-nucleotide non-coding RNA. The record is from RefSeq and is a predicted model, not a curated record. NCBI's taxonomy places the organism in Eukaryota, Viridiplantae, Streptophyta, Magnoliopsida, Fabales, Fabaceae.
UGCACUUCUCAUACUUGGUUCAUCAUAUUUCAAGCUUACUUCUCUUUCAGGUUACCUCACCUUCCUAAUUCAAACCCUUUCAAUACCACUAUAACUCAUUACUACGGUUCUAGAGGGUAAAAAUAGAGGUUUAGAAGUUCGAAGCCAUGUUUAAAUGACAAAAUUAUAUGUUGCUGAGAAACAGAUUGUGUGCGUGCGCGCACUUGUACAAUUGUUCAUAGAGGCGCGUAUGCACUAGGAGGUGCAGACGCUCUCAACAGCAAGCAUUUGAGGGUUCGUUGCGCCGUCGUUCAUCUCCUUGUCACCACAAGCAACACCAUCAUUGUUGUCCUCGGUGGAGCUUCUGCUAUCUGGUAUAAUCUGAGAUCACACAUCGGAGGGAGAGGGAAAAGAGAACGAGAGUGAGUUCAUCUGAAACCCUAAAGCUUGUCGCCACCAUGGUCACCACCAGUCAUCUCAUUUCAGCUGCUUCCAUUAACCUUCUGCGUUCGAGUGAAGGCGCCUCCUCUAUCGACGCGUUUCCAAAUCUGGUCACUAUGCCAUAGCUUAUGAGAUUGAGCGAAGCACCUUUUCCAUUAAUGGGUCUCCUCCGCCAGCGGCGCCGGAAAGAUGUGAAAAUAUGAUUGAUUAUAUAAAAAGGCUUAAGGUUUGCAUAAGAUGGUUCCAAGACAUUGAGAUGAGAUACUCACUACAACAGGAGAGGUUGAAAAACUCAUUGGAACUAACACAGCAAAAAUGCAUGGAAAUUGAGUUGCUGCUAAAAAUCAAGGAAGACGAACUGAACUCAGUUAUCACAGAAAUGAGACGAAACUGGACUAAUUUACAAUAAAAGUUGAUCAAGGAAGAAAUAGAAAGGAAGAUAUUGCAUCAAAGAAGAAUUGAGGAUGACCCUAAAAGAUCUGGAAUCUCCCAUUUGCAUAGUAUUAUACAAGGAGUUAAUUUGCAAGCUAAUCAUGCUUUGAAGCCUUUGUUUGAGAGACAAGUGAGUGAAGCCUAAAUUUUACAUUUUCUUGUGGUAUAUUUUUUAAUAUUUUAGAGUAAGUUUUUUCCAUGAAUUUAUUUUAGAAUAAUUUUCUUCAAUUUCCAUUUUCUGUUUGAUAAAAGUCCCAAAAGAUAUUGCUCUUAUGAGUCAGUUGUGGCUGGGUGUUAUAAGACAGAUAAUGCUCCUAUUUUUAUUAGAUAAAUCAUAAAUCAGAAAUGCUCAAAUAUAUUGGGACUUUAGAGAGAAUAUAAAGUUAAAAGUAUGUUCUUCCCUUUCAUGUAUGAGACUAUUAUAUUGAUUUAAAUCUUUUUAUUGGUUACUCAUGUUUGAUUGGUGGUGGUAAGCUAUAUUAUUUUAGAGGUUUAUUGAAAUUUCAAUAUACAUGUCACUAAGAUUAUUUCCAUUGAAGAGUCACCUUUCAAAGAAUGACAGUUGUUCCAGCAUUUACCAUGUGAUAUAAUAUUUAUGAAUUUUCUCUUCUAUUCCUGAACAACUUGUCAUGCUCUUUUCUUAUUGAAGUUAGUUUUUCAUAUGAUCUUGAUUCAGAUUUAGGUGGGGAUCUUAAAACAUGACACUGGUACAGUUUGCCUCAGUAAAUUUAGAAUAAAACAUGACUAUUCAAAUUGUUAUGUGAGAAAAGACCGACUCUACCCUGAUAAACAUUAUAUAUUCUGGAAGUUACUGAAAUCGUAUGAAUCUAUCAAGUAGUAUUGCUUUCUUGUUUUUUUGUUUUUGGUCUUCUAUCUGUAUUCUAAUUGCAGGGUGAUUUUUACACAUAUUUAUUCUCCAUGUAGCUUGAAAAUACUGUGAGGUUGCUGUUGGAUUUGGAACCAGAGUUGAUCCAGUCUGGCAUUAUUUGAAUACAGAUUUAAAAAUUUUGUUCGUACCCAUUGUUUGAAAUAUUUGUCAUUAAUAUCUACUCUUUCUUAUGUUAUAGAUAUUUAGUGCCACCAUAACCCUCUCUUCAUGCUUUAGUGGUUGGCAUUAGUAUAAUUCUGAAUAAGUAAAUAUUAAUUUAGGGGAUAUAUUUAUAAUACAAACUAUGUAGGUGCAAUACCCAAUCUAACAGUGAUUGGAAGUGAGUCAUACUAUAUGUAUAGUAUUAUGACCUGGCACUAACAUGAAUCUGAUUAAAAUUGUAUGGCAUGUUUAGUUACUAUUCCAUGUACGGCCAUGUUGAGAAGUUAGCUGAAGAGAUUAAAUAUAUAUUAAGAUUUCAUUCCUGAGGCUGAUGGUUUAUCUACAUAUGUGAAAUAUUAUAUUCCCUGCCACUUCCAAAUUUGUUAAUUAGUUUUUUUAGUUCAGUAUAUUUUGAAAAGGAGAAUAUAUAUUAAGAUUUCAUUCCUAUAAAAAUAUACUAAACUAUUUGAUUUGUUUGAUAAACUGAGUUUACAAAUAUUUAAAACUGGAGUGUUUAUCCUUUUUGGUCUAUAUUCUCAGCAAAGGGAGCCAAAUUGAGCCAAGACCAGGUACUAAUUAUUAGUAUUUAUCUCUCUUGAGAUAGCUAGUUAGUUGUAUUUGAUUUAUUAUUAAUAUUGUUAGUAGAGUUCUUGUCAAAUAAUGAGUUCUUAUCAAAUAGCAUAUUUCUUGUGAGACUGCUGGUUUAGUUUUCUAUUCUUCAAAAUGCUGGUAGUUUGCUAUUUAUUUGAGCAACUAUUUAUUUCUAACGUUCAAUUUUCUUUUUCAGGUAAUAUUUAUUCACACGGACAUGGACACGAACAAUGAAAAUGUUAGAAGGGCCGGUAGCAAACUUUUUGAGCAUCUCUUGGAAAACUCCCAAUGUAAUAGAACUAACAAUAUUUCUUAGUUUGAUACUUUGUAUAGGAGUUAUUACUUUUGAUUUGUAAUACUAAAAAAAUCAUAUAUUAUGU